Molecule: long non-coding RNA, 330 nt
Organism: Oncorhynchus masou masou (cherry salmon)
Lineage: Eukaryota; Metazoa; Chordata; Actinopteri; Salmoniformes; Salmonidae
Exons: 3
Source: RefSeq, a predicted model, not a curated record
CAAUUAUAUUAUGAAAAGAGAAGACCGGAAGAUCGUCAGUCUCCAAUGCACCAUCUGACAAGUUGUUCUAUAGAGGAGCGUGAAGAAAGCAGUGUCGUUGGGAACCCCUCCAACCAUAUCAGGUUUAGAAGGCUGAGGCAGACGUUGGCAAGGCAACAGACACAUUUCAGAUGGAGGACGGGACAGAUGAGUUUGUCAUGGAGUCCCCUGACUGACCAACAGACAGGUUGAGACAGACAGAGUCCCCUGACUGACCAACAGACAGGUUGAUACAGACUGAGUCCCCUGACUGACCAACAGACAGGUUGAGACAGACUGAGUCCCUGACCA